RNAcentral lists this ribosomal RNA (421 nucleotides) under uncultured bacterium. RNAcentral's name for it is "partial 16S ribosomal RNA". It matches the Rfam family "Bacterial small subunit ribosomal RNA", at positions 361 to 774 of the family's 1533-position model. The record is from RNAcentral.
AUUUUGGACAAUGGGGGCAACCCUGAUCCAGCUAUGCCGCGUGUGUGACAAAGGUCUUCGGAUUGUAAAGCACUUUAUGUUGGGAGGAAGGGCUUUCGGUUAAUACCCUGAAGUUUUGACGUUACCAACAGAAUAAUCACCGGCUACCCCUGUGCCAGCAGCCGCGGUAAUACAGAGGGUGCAAGAGUUAAUCGGAAUUACUGGGCGUAAAGCGCGGGUAGGUGGUUCAGUAAGAUGGGUGUGAAAUCCCCGGGCUUAACCUGGGAACUGCUUUCAUAACUGCUGAGCUAGAGUACGGUAGAGGGUAGUGGAAUUUCCUGUGUAGCGGUGAAAUGCGUAGAUAUAGGAAGGAACACCAGUGGCGAAGGCGACUACCUGGACUGAUACUGACACUGAGGUGAGAAAGCGUGGGGAGCAAACA